UCGCGGAUCAGCAUGCCGCGGUGAAUACGUUCCCGGGCCUUGUACACACCGCCCGUCACACCAUGAGAGUCGGGAACACCCGAAGUCCGUAGCCUAACCGCAAGGGGGGCGCUGCCGAAGGUAGGAUUGGCGACUGGGGUGAAGUCGUAACAAGGUAGC
This 159-nucleotide ribosomal RNA is filed under the name uncultured bacterium. Its description in RNAcentral is "partial 16S ribosomal RNA". It matches the Rfam family "Bacterial small subunit ribosomal RNA", at positions 1342 to 1500 of the family's 1533-position model. The record is from RNAcentral.